UCUGCGAUACACAAAUAAUAAUAUCUCUUCUUGCCCAAAAUUUAUCUUCCUCUUCCUCUUCUCCGAUUCACAAUUUCUGGGCGAUUCCAUCUCUCUAUCUAUCGGAUUAAUCGAACAGAGACUCUCUGUCCCUCUCUCAUGAUCGAACUCGGAUUUAAGCGAUUUAUGCCCACAGAUUCGAUCCCUAAUCGUUGGAGUUGUGGUGAUACCAAGAGGACUUGCGUUGAUUGUGGAACUAUCCGAAGGAGCACAUAAAAAUCUGGAGAAAUGCUCCUGUGGGCCAUUUGGAGCUACGUACUACUACUGACAAACCUCACUCACACAUACUUUGUCGGAAAUGCUCCAGUGGGCUAUACAAUCUACGGAACCUUAAUGUUGUUUGAAGAUUUUUAAUCAGUUGAUCAUGUAUGUAGAUGUUGUUGUUGUUGUUGUUGUUGUUUUAUGGACUCUUACCGGUUUGGGUCUCCGAUGCCAUUCCUUUUGACAUUUGAUUGUGGGCUCUUGACAUUUUCUUUAUUGCAAUGGCAACUUCAAGGAAGAAGCCUGAUCAUGCUUUACUCAUACGGGUGAGACACAAGUAAAUGGAUUGGCUCUGUUGGUGAAUCCAUUUUCUGGAGAUUUUGGUUGGAAUGCAUGUUUAUGCAUCUGGCUACUUGAUUUGUGAAAAAAACAAAAAUAAUGAUUUCCUUUCUUUUGGAUCUAUCCUCUAGUAGUAUAUGGGGGUUGCUAAAGGUAUUGUUCCUUUGUCGUAAGUCGAUAUGUUGGACAAUAUCUCAUUAAGCCUCUCCUAGGUUUCGUCUUUGGCCUAGCUGCUGUUUCUCUUUUCAAUCUCCCAACUCCAAUAGGUGCUGGAAUCAUAGAAUAGAUUCUUUUAUUUGAGAUAAAGUGGUCCGAUGGAUGAUUAUUUGGAAGAAUCAGCACCAGCGAAUUUGAGAGCCACACUGUUAACACAGUGACGUUGGUCGGUAGGAGUAGAGUAGCCUUCACCUUUGAAACAAUGGCCAAGAUAUCACUUAUUUUGAUUAUUUCUAUUACUUAGAAUAUGAUGUGAGGAAGGAGAAGUUGUGAGAAAGGAAAACAAUGGCCAAGAUAUCAUUGGUCUACUCGUAAAUGGAUUGGCUCACAAAGAUUGAAGUAAGUGAAUAUAAUUUGUUACUCUUACAUCAA
This is a non-coding RNA of Camelina sativa (false flax), 1167 nucleotides long. The record is from RefSeq and is a predicted model, not a curated record. NCBI's taxonomy places the organism in Eukaryota, Viridiplantae, Streptophyta, Magnoliopsida, Brassicales, Brassicaceae.